This 73-nucleotide transfer RNA is filed under the name Candidatus Parvarchaeum acidiphilum ARMAN-4. It matches the Rfam family "tRNA". Rfam says of the family: Transfer RNA (tRNA) molecules are approximately 80 nucleotides in length. Their secondary structure includes four short double-helical elements and three loops (D, anti-codon, and T loops). The record is from Rfam by way of RNAcentral. Lineage: Archaea; Nanobdellati; Candidatus Parvarchaeota. RNAcentral also lists the same sequence under 3 other names.
GGGCCCGUGGUCCAGCGGUUAUGACGUCUGCUUGACGUGCAGAAGACCAAGGGUUCGAAUCCCUUCGGGCCCA